This 164-nucleotide ribosomal RNA is filed under the name Henckelia walkerae. RNAcentral's name for it is "5.8S ribosomal RNA". It matches the Rfam family "5.8S ribosomal RNA". From Rfam's summary of the family: 5.8S ribosomal RNA (5.8S rRNA) is a component of the large subunit of the eukaryotic ribosome. The record is from RNAcentral. Lineage: Eukaryota; Viridiplantae; Streptophyta; Magnoliopsida; Lamiales; Gesneriaceae.
AUAACGACUCUCGGCGACGGAUAUGUCGGCUCUCGCAUCGAUGAAGAACGUAGMGAAAUGCGAUACUUGGUGUGAAUUGCAGAAUCCCGUGAACCAUCGAGUCUUUGAACGCAAGUUGCGCCCGAAGCCAUCAGGUUGAGGGCACGUCUGCCUGGGCGUCGCGC